This 516-nucleotide small RNA is filed under the name Pan troglodytes (chimpanzee). RNAcentral's name for it is "retained intron". The record is from RNAcentral. Lineage: Eukaryota; Metazoa; Chordata; Mammalia; Primates; Hominidae.
AAUCCUUGUAUCAUGGAAAUGUUAACAUUUAAAGUAUUUAUUUGGUUAGAGUCUAAAUAAUGGAAAACUGAAAAAUUUAUUCUUCAUUGUUUGUUUGCUUACUUUGUUUUGAUAAUGAAUGCUCACGCACUUUAGGUUCUUUCUACCAACCUUUUCUUUAUAGUUACCCCAACAAGCCGAAGCUUACUCAGGCAGCCAGAUAUUUCCUGCAUUCUUGGAACAGGAGGGAAGUCGCCCCGACUUACGCAGUCUUCAGGGUUCUUUGGAAAUCUCUCCAUGGUUACUAAUCUGGAUGACAGUAACUGGGCAGCUGCAUUUUCAUCACAGCGUUCCGGGCUCUUCACAAACACAGAGCCCCACAGUAUAACAGAAGAUGUAACUAUCAGUGCUGUUAUGUUACGUGAGGAUGAUCCUGGAGAAGCUGCAUCCGUGAGUAUGUUUUCUGAUUUCCUGCAGUCUUUUCUGAAGCACUCUUCAAGUACAGUUUUUGAUCUUGUGGAAGAGUAUGAAAACAUC